CACCGCCUGGGGAGUACGACCGCAAGGUUAAAACUCAAAUGAAUUGACGGGGACCCGCACAAGUAGUGGAGCAUGUGGUUUAAUUCGAAGAUACGCGCAGAACCUUACCAACACUUGACAUGUUCGUCGCGACUUUAAGAGAUUAAAGUUUUCGGUUCGGCCGGACGAAACACAGGUGCUGCAUGGCUGUCGUCAGCUCGUGUCGUGAGAUGUUGGGUUAAGUCCCGCAACGAGCGCAACCCUCACUUUUAGUUGCCAUCAUUAAGUUGGGCACUCUGAAAGAACUGCCAGUGAUAAGCUGGAGGAAGGUGGGGAUGACGUCAAGUCCUCAUGGCCCUUACGUGUUGGGCUACACACGUGCUACAAUGGUAUCUACAACAGGAAGCAAGACGGCGACGUUAAGCAAAUCCUUAAAAGAUACCUCAGUUCGGAUUGCACUCUGCAACUCGAGUGCAUGAAGCUGGAAUUACUAGUAAUCGUGGAUCAGCGUGCCACGGUGAAUGCGUUCCCGGGUCUUGUACACACCGCCCGUCACACCAUGGGAGUUGGUUCUACCUUAAGGCAAGGUUUAAAACCCUUGACCACGGUAUAGUCAGCGACUGGGGUGAAGUCGUAACAAGGUAGCCGUAGGGGAACCUGCGGCUGGAUUACCUCCUUUCUAAGGAUGAACAAAAGUAAAAUUUUGUUCUAAAUAAUAUACAUAGGCAAUGUUGACCGUCCUCAUUUCUCUUCUUAAGUUAGUGUUUCUCUUGCAUGGGGGCCGGUAGCUCAGUUGGUUAGAGCACACCCUUGAUAAGGGUGGGGUCGAAAGUUCGAGUCUUUCUCGGCCCACCAAUUAAGAUCAUGGGGGAUUAGCUCAGCUGGGAGAGCGCCUGAUUUGCAUUCAGGAGGUCAGCGGUUCGAUCCCGCUAUCCUCCACCAAAACACUUAGUUAUAUAAAAUUGUGAAUAAAUUUAAUUAAUAUCAAUAUCUAUAUCCGAACAUUAGUAAUGUUAUUAGCUAAUGUUCAAAAUAAAAAUUUGAUUCAACACAGAAUUUUUUUCUG
This 1045-nucleotide small RNA is filed under the name uncultured Pelagibacterales bacterium. RNAcentral describes it as "bacterial SSU rRNA". The stretch from base 1 to 658 matches the Rfam family "Bacterial small subunit ribosomal RNA", at positions 867 to 1533 of the family's 1533-position model. The record is from RNAcentral. Lineage: Bacteria; Pseudomonadati; Pseudomonadota; Alphaproteobacteria; Candidatus Pelagibacterales.